This 474-nucleotide ribosomal RNA is filed under the name uncultured bacterium. RNAcentral describes it as "bacterial SSU rRNA". It matches the Rfam family "Bacterial small subunit ribosomal RNA", at positions 505 to 977 of the family's 1533-position model. The record is from RNAcentral.
GUGCCAGCAGCCGCGGUAAUACGGGGGGUGCAAGCGUUGUUCGGAUUUAUUGGGCGUAAAGCGCGUGUAGGCGGUUCUAUAAGUCUGAUGUGAAACCCUGGGCUCAACCCGGGAAGUGCAUUGGAUACUGUAAGACUUGAAUACGGGAGAGGGCAGUGGAAUUCCUAGUGUAGGAGUGAAAUCCGUAGAUAUUAGGAGGAACACCGGUGGCGAAGGCGGCUGCCUGGACCGAUAUUGACGCUGAGACGCGAAAGCGUGGGUAGCAAGCAGGCUUAGAUACCCUGGUAGUCCACGCCGUAAACGAUGAGAACUAGGUGUUGCGGGUAUUGACCCCUGCAGUGCCGUAGCUAACGCAUUAAGUUCUCCGCCUGGGAAGUACGGUCGCAAGACUAAAACUCAAAGGAAUUGACGGGGUGCCCGCACAAGCGGUGGAGCAUGUGGUUUAAUUCGACGCAACGCGGCAAACCUUACCUG